AAAUGUUUAUACGUCUAGCACACCUGCUAGACUGUUAUGUUCUCUGGUGGAAGAAUGGUGCAUUGGUCACUCUUACUUCCUAAGGGCCCACAUCUGGUAUAUACCUUGCUGUAACAAAUAUUUUUUUGAUUUGGCCUCAUCUGUGAGGAAACUAUGCCAUGUGCAGGAUAAGUGAUAACUGUGAACGAGAUUAACCAGAAUAUCAUGAGAAGUUUUGGAAAGCUCCACAUUUGUUGCCACCUGCCCUGUAUCUACUGAUAUUGCCAAACAGAAAGGGAUGAAGGAGAGGAUAGGACUUUUCCUCUAUGAAUGGCUGGAAGGACACACUCUCACUCAGCUUACCUGGUAGCAACUUUGUGACUGCAGAAUCCUGUGCUGCCGAAUAGCUGCUGCUUCUGUAUGGGCCAGAGUAAAAUCUCACUGGCGUGGGAAAGGUGCCGCCAGGCUCCUUGGGGCAGGGAUGUUAUCCUUGUCACAGCUGGAAAAGAUGUCAGUUCUUCCUGCUGGCUCUCUUCCCAGAGAUGUGGACAUUCCCAAGAUGUUCUCUCUCCAGUGGCAGCAGAAGGGGCUGCCCUAUGACCGACAGACAUGACUGUUCUCAAAGCAACAUUCUUUGCAGGCUCUGUGGAUUAUCAUCUGUACCACAUGAAAAGCUGUGUCCUUUCAGGAGCCCUACUUCUAUUUGCACUUUUCCUCUGUAUUUGCAUAUUACUUGUUCACAGUUUGUUUCAAGAACAAGUAUUUUAUCACAUUCUUUUUUGUCUAGCAGUUCAUUUCUUUCAAUUAAUAUUAUUUUGUUACACAAGUAAUUCAUGUUCACUACAGAAAAUAGUAAACCAUGCAUGUAAGAAAGUAAAACUCAUUCUUAAGUCUACCAUCUAGAGAAAGCUGCAGUUGACAUUUCUUUUGUAUAGAACCAACCAGAAAUUUUAUGCAUAUGACUGAAAUAUGUAUUUAUAUAAAGGUAGGUUUUCUAUACACAUCUUAGUUACCUGAUUUUUUUCUCAAAAAUAUACUGUUAACAUUGUCUCCAUGUCAAUAAAGAUACAA
Molecule: long non-coding RNA, 1050 nt
Organism: Canis lupus familiaris (dog)
Lineage: Eukaryota; Metazoa; Chordata; Mammalia; Carnivora; Canidae
Exons: 4
Source: RefSeq, a predicted model, not a curated record